Molecule: long non-coding RNA, 8076 nt
Filed under: Salmo salar (Atlantic salmon)
Lineage: Eukaryota; Metazoa; Chordata; Actinopteri; Salmoniformes; Salmonidae
Description: lncRNA (ENSSSAG00000094903.1)
Source: RNAcentral
CGGGGAUAGACAGACACAUAGUUGACAGGCUACAGAAGAGGCUACGCUAAUGCAAAGGAGAUUGGAAUGACAAGUGGACUACACUUCUCGAAUGUUCAGAAAGUUAAGCUUACGUUGCAAAAAUUUUAUUGACUAAAAUGACGAAGAUGAUACAGUACAGCUGGCUGGUGAAGUAGGCUAGCUAGCAGUGGCUGCGUUGUUGACUUUGUUUGAACGUGUAGCUGGCUAGGUAACCUCGAUAGUUUCAGUACUACACCUUAUCAUGAUACAAAAGCAACUAUGUAGCUAGCUAACAUAGCACUAAUCAAGACGUUCCUUUGUAAUGUAUUUAGUUUCUACAAUGCUGCUCGUCGGUAAUAGUUGGCUAGGUUUGGAAAAAUGCCGUCGCGGGGGACGAAAAUAGCUGGCUAGCUAACCUCGAUAAUUACUCUAAACUACACAAUUAUCAAACUAUGACAAAGACAGCUAACACUGCACUAGUCAAAUCGUUCCGUUGUGAUGUAUUAGUUUCUACAAUGCUGCUAGUCAGUAAAGGUUGGCUAGCUAGCAGUGGGUUUGAUGAUGACUAGGUGUGUUGACUAAGUCUGGAGUCUGUACAACGGCGUCGCGUCGCGGCUGGCUAGCUAACCUCGAUAAUUACUCUAAACUACACAAUUAUCUUAGAUACAAAGACAGCAAAGACAACUGUGUAGCUAGCUAGCACUACACUAAUCAAGUCGUUCCGUUGUAAUGUAAUAGUUUCUACAGUGCUGCUAGUCGGUAGAAGUUGGCUAGUUGGCUAGCUAGCAGUGUUGACUAAGUUAGGAGGACGAAAACAGCUGGCUGGCUAGCUAACCUCGAUAAUUACUCUAAACUACACAAUUAUCUUUGAUACAAAGACGGCUAUGUAGCUAGCUAAGAAAAAAUUGCUCAGAUCAAACAAAUCAAACCGUUGUAAUGUAAUGAAAUGUAAUAUUACCUGUGGAGCGAAGCGAAGUGCGACUACCCGCUCCAAACCCGGAUUUUUUUUUUUUAUAUUGGAUAAAAGUUGAGAAAAUGGUAUAUCAUUAACUGCAGUUGAGGAACAAUGCAAAAGUAAGUCUGCUUUGAAAGUUCAUCAACUUUUGAGAAAAUGGUCCUUGAAUAUUUUACUACAUCUACUGGAGAGGUCUUCUUCUUUCAGCAUCAUUUAUUUUAUUUAACUCGGCAAGUCAGUUAAUAACACAUUCUUAUUUUCAAUGACGGCCUAGGAACAGUGGGUUAACUGCCUUGUUCAGGGGCAGAACGACAGAUUUUUACCUUGUCAGCUCGGGGAUUCGGACUCGCAACCUUUCGUUUACUAGUCCAACACUCUAACCACUAGGCUACGCUGGCCGCCCCAUUUACACCCUCUUAAGCAUUUACACCCAUCUCUUUAAGGAGUCACAUGUGAGGCCAUAUGCUAAACAGAGUGAGUAAGGCAGUGUAGUAAACAACCAAAGAUUUUUCAAGUCUAAAAGUGGUGAAAGUAGUAGUACAAAUAAACAAUCUAUUUCUUGGCCUAUAUCCUAAUCUGACUUCGGUGCAGGUCAUGUUGUUCUUCACAUUACCAUCUCUGGUAAACACACACUAUAUCAAAUAAAAUCUAUGUUUAUUUGUCACAUGCAAAGGAUACAGAAGGUGUAAACAGUACAGUGAAAUGGUUACUUGCAUAUUUGCAUAGUAGCAAUAUAAAAAAUAGAGUGUCCAGAUAAAUAUUGUAUACAUAUUACCCAGACACACUUGUCUAAAUUGAUGGGUCAUGUGAAAGAAUUGCUAUAACCAGCCACAUCUAGCUAAGUGGAUGGAUCUCUACGUCAAGACAUGUACACAUGUUCAUAAAAUACAAUAGAUGAACCGUAAUCACACACCUAUUAAGGCACAUUAAAGUUCAUGUUCCAGAAGGCUUUUCUGCCAAAAAAUAAAUGUUUACGUUCCUCUCCUGUGAAGUAGUGACGUGUGACAUACGCCUAGCUUCCUGAAACGAGUCACAAUAUGUUGUCAUUAAAUAUUCUGAGUAAUAGAACAGGUAAUAGUAAUAGAACAGGCUCAACAGCCUAGGAAGAAAACAAAAUACAAAAAUUGCUCACAGACUCAGUGUCUAAUCUGAUGCACAGAAACAUAUGAAAACUUGAACUAAUUACCUUCAUGUUUUCUCUGUUAAAAUCUUCUAGACCUUGCUGUAAAUCAAGCAGACAAUAGAAGAUCUCAUCAUAAAUAUAAGGGUAUUGGAUCGCAACUGUCUUCACUGGGACAUCGAAUGAGACGUCAACAUAUGCACAUUCUUCACAUUUCACUCUCCUCUUCAUAUGGAAGUAAUGCAACUGGUAACCCACUGUUACAGAUGACACAGAUCACUAUAGUCUAAUACUAAUCAAAUCAAAUUUGUCACAACGCCUUAACCAACAAUGCAUUUAAGAAAAAAAGUGUUAAGAAAGUAUUGACUAAAAUAAACUGAAGUUAAAAAAAAAUAACAAUAGAAUGAAAAUAGAAAAAUAACAAAUAAUAAAUUAAGGAGCAACAAUAAAAUAACAAUAGCGAGGCUAUAUGCAGGGGGUACCGGUGCAGAGUCAAUGUGGAGGCUAUAUACAGGGGGUACCGGUACAGAGUCAAUGUGGAGGCUAUAUACAGGGGGUACCGGUACAGAGUCAAUGUGGAGGCUAUAUACAGGGGUACCAGUACAGAGUCAAUGUGGAGGCUAUAUACAGGGGGUACCGGUACAGAGUCAAUGUGGAGGCUAUAUACAGGGUGUUAGGGUACAGAGUCAAUGUGGAGGCUAUAUACAGGGGGUACCGGUACAGAGUCAAAGUGGAGGCUAUAUACAGGCGGUACCGGUACAGAGUCAAUGUGGAGGCUAUAUACAGGGUGUUACGGUACAGAGUCAAUGUGGAGGCUAUAUACAGGGGGUACCGGUACAGAGUCAAUGUGGAGGCUAUAUACAGGGGGUACCGGUACAGAGUCAAUGUGGAGGCUAUAUACAGGGGGUACCGGUACAGAGUCAAUGUGGAGGCUAUAUACAGGGGGUACCGGUACAGAGUCAAUGUGGAGGCUAUAUACAGGGGGUACCGGUACAGAGUCAAUGUGGAGGCUAUAUACAGGGUGUUACGGUACAGAGUCAAUGUGGAGGCUAUAUACAGGGGGUACUGGUACAGAGUCAAUGUGGAGGCUAUAUACAGGGGGUACCGGUACAGAGUCAAUGUGGAGGCUAUAUACAGGGGGUACCGGUACAGAGUCAAUGUGGAGGCUAUAUACAGGGGGUACCGGUACAGAGUCAAUGUGGAGGCUAUAUACAGGGGGUACCGGUACAGAGUCAAUGUGGAGGCUAUAUACAGGGGGUACUGGUACAGAGUCAAUGUGGAGGCUAUAUACAGGGGAUACCGGCACAGAGUCAAUGUGCGGGGGUACAGGUCAGUCGAGGUAAUUGAGGUAAUAUGUAGGUAGAGGUACAUGUAGGUAGAGGUAAAGUGACUAUGCACAGAUAAUAAACAGAGACAGAGAGUAGCAGCAGCGUAAUAAUGGGCGGUGGGGACAAUGCAAAUAUUCCGGGUAGCCAUUUGAUUAGCUGUUAACGGGUCUUAUGGCUUGAGGGUAAAAACUGUUUAGAAGCCUUUUGGACCUAGGCUUGGCGCUCCGGUACCGCUUGCCGUGCAGUAGCAGAGAGAACAGUCUAUGACUAGGGUGGCUGGAGUCUGACAAUUUGCGCACGGCCCAGUACAUCACUGGAGCCAAGCUUCCAGCCAUCCAGGACCUACAGUUGAAGUCAGAAGUUUACAUACACCUUAGCCAAAUACAUUUAAACUCAGUUUUUCUUUACAUUUAAACUCAAUUCCUGACAUUUAAUCCCAGUAAAAAUGCCCUGUCUUAGGUCAGAUAGGAUCACCACUUUAUUUUAAGAAUGUGAAAUGUCAGAAUAAUAGUAGAGAGAAUGAUUUAUUUCAGCUUUUAUUUCUUUCAUCACAUUCCCAGCGGGUCAGAAGUUGUCAUACACUCAAUUAGUAUUUGGUGGCAUUGCCUUUAAAUUGUUUAACUUGGGUCAAACGUUUCGGGUAGCCUUCCACAAGCUUCCCACAAUAAGUUGGGUGAAUUUUGGCCCAUUCCUCCUGACAGAGCUGGUGUGACUGAGUCAGGUUUGUAGGCCUCUUUUUUGAAGAUAGAUUUGUAUUUGGCGCAUGUGAUAAAUACAAUUUUAUUUAUUAUUGAUGUUAUUUAUUAUUAUUGUUAUUUAUUAUUGUUGCCCAUUGUUGAUAUGCUGUAUGUGUGUGAAUGAGAUUUAAACAUGAAAACACAUUGAAAAGCUAUUUGGCUUCAGGUAUUCAAACACAACAGAGGCAUGGCAGUGCCACUCAUAGUCCUAGAUAUACCAAAAGCCUUAUGAAACAUUUUAAAGACAGAAUAACACAAUAAGGGCUACUUAUAUGCAGGCUAAGGUGUUUGAAUGUAAUCAUGUCGGCCAUAUUGGAUUCAGAAUAUAAUUGAUUUACACUAACACUCUUUGUAGUGUGUUGUACACAAUUCAUAUUUACAGGUGAUUUAACCGCCGACAAAUAUUGCAGUAUUAUGGCAGCCAUAUUGUAUUUUGGACGCCAUAUUAGAUUUUGACAAAAUAUAAAGAUAAUCUGUGAUGGCCCACUGAUUUAAUUACAAGACUGAGGGCUAAGAAUACAACAUCCUUUAAGAAAACCUUGGACCCCAACAAAAUGUAAUUCGAUGUCUGAGCCCACUUGUUUACAAAAUAAAAAAAUAUAAAUUUUUGUCAUGCAGGACCAUUACAAUACUGAAUAAGAGCACGUUUGACUUGGAAAGUUGUCUAUUGAACAGCAGUGAAGUUUAUAAUCAUCAUAAAUAUUCAUAGUUGAUAUUUCUGCCUAUUUUAUGUGUGUUUACUGGUCUAUCCAAGAUGCAUGAAGAUAUUCUGUUUGUUUGUGUACGUAUGGCAACAAUAUCAGCGCUUGCAAUAUUGGGUUACAUGAGCUAAUGUGCCUCACCUCCUCCAGCCAGGCGUUAUUCUGCACUUUUUGAGUUAAGGGGGAGUCACAAUAUCUAUCAAUUUAACAACUUUUGCAGUAAAAUAUUUUUACACAACCAUCCAUUUCCUAUAUGGGAGACCUUAGAGCUAUGGAAAAACAUGGUUGUGUUUUCUUAUAUACCUCAGUUAGCGGGUAUGUAACGGAAACACAGGGAGUCAGGAAGCAGGUUGAAAUGGUGAGUUCAAUAAUAACGAAAACGGAGAGAAGCAUCUGGACAAGAAAGCAGAACCAAUACUGCCUGAUGAGUUGUAGAGUACUAGAUAAAGGGGAAGUAAUCAGAGUAGUGAUGAGGGUUGCCAGGUGUGCGUAAUGAGGGUUGCCAGGUAUGCGUAGUUAGGAAACCGGAUUUUACUACUAUCUUAGUUUGUAUCAGUGCCUUCCAAAGUGUUACAGGUAUUAUUUGUGUCACCGCUCUUCGAACUUGGCGACUUCAAUCUCCAGACGUCUGCCUUCAAUUCAUUUAUUUCCAUCUCUCUCUUUCCCCUCCUUGCCUCAUUUGACCUCAUCCUUUCCCAGUCCCCUCCAACUCACAAGGCAGGCAAUACUCUUGACCUCAUCUUUACGAGAGGCUGUUCUCCUACUAAUCUCACUGGAACCCCCCCUCCAGGUCUCUGUUCUCCUACUAAUCUCACUGUAACCCCCCUCCAGGUCUCUGUUCUCCUACUAAUCUCACUGUAACCCCCCUCCAGGUCUCUGUUCUCCUACUAAUCUCACUGUAACCCCCCUCCAGGUCUCUGUUCUCCUACUAAUCUCACUGUAACCCCCCUCCAGGUCUCUGUUCACUAUUCUGUUUCCUUUCCUGUCUCCUUUCCUCCAACCCUAACCACUCAGCCCCUACCCAGAUAGUCAUGCACUGUCGCAAUUUUCUCUCUCUCCCACUAAUCAUCAAAUCAAAUCAAAUUUAUUUAUAAAGCCCUUCUUACAUCAGAUGAUAUCUCAAAGUACUGUACAGAAACCCAGCCUAAAACCCCAAACAGCAAGCAAUGUAGGUGUAGAAGCACGGUGGCUAGGAAAAACUCCCUAGAAAGGCCAAAACCUAGGAAGAAACCUAGAGAGGAACCAGGCUAUGAGGGGUGGCCAGUCCUCUUCUGGCUGUGCCGGGUGGAGAUUAUAACAGAACAUGGCCAAGAUGUUCAAAUGUUCAAAAAUGACCAGCAUGGUCAAAUAAUAAUAAUCACAGUUGUCGAGGGUGCAACAAGUCAGCACCUCAGGAGUAAAUGUCAGUUGGCUUUUCAUAGCUGAUCAUUCAGAGUAUCUCUACCGCUCCUGCUGUCUCUAGAGAGUUGAAAACAGCAGGUCUGGGACAGGUAGCACGUCCGGUGAACAGGUCAGGGUUCCAUUUAUGAACGCAGGCAGAACAGUUGAAACUGGAGCAGCAGCACGGCCAGGUGGACUGGGGACAGCAAGGAGUCAUCAUGUCAGGUAGUCCUGAGGCAUGGUCCUAGGGCUCAGGUCCUCCGAGAGAGAGAAAGAAAGAAAGAAAGAAAGAAAGAAAGAAAGAAAGAAAGAAAGAAAGAAAGAAAGAAAGAAAGAGAGAAAGAGAGAAUUAGAGAGAGCAUACUUAAAUUCACACAGGACACCGGAUAAGACAAGAGAAAUACUCCAGAUAUAACAGACUGACCCUAGCCCCCCGACACAUAAACUACUGCAGCAUAAAUACUGGAGGCUGAGACAGGAGGGGUCAGGAGACACUGUGGCCCCAUCCGACGAUACCCCCGGACAGGGCCAAACAGGAAGGAUAUAACCCCACCCACUUUGCCAAAGCACAGCCCCCACACCACUAGAGGGAUAUCUUCAACCACCAACUUACCAUACUGAGACAAUGCCGAGUAUAGCCCACAAAGAUCUCCGCCACGGCACAACCCAAGGGGGGGGGGGUGCAAACCCAGACAGGAAGACCACAUCAGUGACUCAACCCACUCAAGUGACACACCCCUCCUAGGGACGGCAUGGAAGAACACCCAUAAGCCAGUGACUCUACUGUCCUUUUCUAUCCUAUCAUUUCUUGCUUCUGCUAAAUCCUACCUCUUGUCUCCUGAUCCUGCCUCUUCGACCUUACUCUCCUCCCUUUCCACAUCAUAUGACUCGCACUGUCCCCAUUUCUCCCGGCCGGCUAGGCCCUCCCCUCCUGCUCUGUGUCUGAGUGACUCAUUGCGAGCUUACAGAACAGGGCUAACAGAACAGGGUAAACAGAACAGGGCUUACAGAACAGGGCUUACAGAACAGAAAAUGGAGAAAAACUGAACUUCUGGAGGACCAAUCAUCCUUUCACUCCCUCCUCUCUUCCUUCUCUUCCUCUGUAUCUGCUGCUAAAGCCACUUUCUACCACUCUAAAUGUCAAGCUUCUGCCUCUAACCCUGGGAAACUGUUUUCCACCUUCUCCUCCCUCCUAAGUCCUACCCCACCCUCCCCCUCCCUCCUCCCUCUCUACGGACAACUUUGUGAAUCUCAUUGAAAGGAAGGUUAACGUCUUCCGCUCCUCAUUCACUCAGCAUAUUGAGUCCACUGGUCCCACUCAAACAGAACUACCCUACUCCUUGACCUCUUUCUCCCCUCUUUCUCCAGUUGAAAUCCUGCAAUUAGUGAGGUCCGGCCUGCACAACAACCUGCCCGCUCGCCCCCCAUCCCCUCCUCCCUUAUUCCAGACUAUCUCUGGAGAUCUUCUCCCAUUCCUCACUUCCCUCAUCAACUCAUCCCUGACAACAGGCUGCAUCCCCUCCUCCCUUAUCCAGACCAUCUCUGGAGACCUUCUCCCAUUCCUCACUUCCCUCAUCAACUCAUCCCUGACCACUGGCUGCGUCCUCUCUGAGUUCAAAAUGUCCCGAGUCGCUCCCCUCCUCAGGAAACCAACACUCGACUCCUCUGAUGUCAAAAACUAUAGGCCUGUAUCCCUUCUUUCUUUUAUUUUGCUGCUAAAGUUAAGUACACCCCAGUUUGUUGGCUGUACACAUUGUACACCACAGCUUAUUGGCUGCACACAUAAGACAUUUGGCUGGGACAUGUUGUCAUGGUAAUUCCCCUUCCUUCAAUAAAAGCUUUGCAACAGCCUCAU